UUUGAUCCUGGCUCAGAUUGAACGCUGGCGGCAUGCUUUACACAUGCAAGUCGAACGGUAACAGGCCGCAAGGUGCUGACGAGUGGCGAACGGGUGAGUAAUGCAUCGGAACGUGCCCGGUCGUGGGGGAUAACACUUCGAAAGAAGUGCUAAUACCGCAUACGAUCUAUGGAUGAAAGCGGGGGACCGUAAGGCCUCGCGCGAUCGGAGCGGCCGAUGUCAGAUUAGGUAGUUGGUGGGGUAAAGGCUCACCAAGCCAACGAUCUGUAGCUGGUCUGAGAGGACGACCAGCCACACUGGGACUGAGACACGGCCCAGACUCCUACGGGAGGCAGCAGUGGGGAAUUUUGGACAAUGGGCGCAAGCCUGAUCCAGCAAUGCCGCGUGCAGGAAGAAGGCCUUCGGGUUGUAAACUGCUUUUGUACGGAACGAAAAGGUCCUGGUUAAUACCCGGGGCUGAUGACGGUACCGUAAGAAUAAGCACCGGCUAACUACGUGCCAGCAGCCGCGGUAAUACGUAGGGUGCAAGCGUUAAUCGGAAUUACUGGGCGUAAAGCGUGCGCAGGCGGUUUUGUAAGACAGGCGUGAAAUCCCCGGGCUCAACCUGGGAAUGGCGCUUGUGACUGCAAAGCUGGAGUGCGGCAGAGGGGGAUGGAAUUCCGCGUGUAGCAGUGAAAUGCGUAGAUAUGCGGAGGAACACCGAUGGCGAAAGCAAUCCCCUGGGCCUGCACUGACGCUCAUGCACGAAAGCGUGGGGAGCAAACAGGA
This 768-nucleotide ribosomal RNA is filed under the name uncultured bacterium. RNAcentral's name for it is "bacterial SSU rRNA". It matches the Rfam family "Bacterial small subunit ribosomal RNA", at positions 12 to 777 of the family's 1533-position model. The record is from RNAcentral.